This 492-nucleotide ribosomal RNA is filed under the name uncultured bacterium. Its description in RNAcentral is "partial 16S ribosomal RNA". It matches the Rfam family "Bacterial small subunit ribosomal RNA", at positions 29 to 507 of the family's 1533-position model. The record is from RNAcentral.
AGUGAACGCUGGCGGUAGGCCUAACACAUGCAAGUCGAACGGCAGCACAGUAAGAGCUUGCUCUUACGGGUGGCGAGUGGCGGACGGGUGAGGAAUACAUCGGAAUCUACUUUUUCGUGGGGGAUAACGUAGGGAAACUUACGCUAAUACCGCAUACGACCUACGGGUGAAAGCAGGGGAUCUUCGGACCUUGCGCGAUUGAAUGAGCCGAUGUCGGAUUAGCUAGUUGGGGGGGUAAAGGCCCACCAAGGCGACGAUCCGUCGCUGGUCUAAGAGGAUGAUCAGCCACACUGGAACUAAGACACGGAACAGAAUCCUACGGGAGGCAGCAGUGGGGAAUAUUGGGCAAUGGGCGCAAGCAUGAUCCAGCGAUGCCGCGUGAGUGAGGAAGGCAUUAGGGUUGUAAAACCCUUUUGUUGGGAAAGAAAAGCAGCAGGUUAAUACCCCGCUAUUCUGACGGUACCCAAAGAAUAAGCACCGGCUAACUUCGUG